This 433-nucleotide ribosomal RNA is filed under the name uncultured Aphanothece sp. RNAcentral describes it as "bacterial SSU rRNA". It matches the Rfam family "Bacterial small subunit ribosomal RNA", at positions 958 to 1392 of the family's 1533-position model. Lineage: Bacteria; Bacillati; Cyanobacteriota; Cyanophyceae; Chroococcales; Aphanothecaceae. The record is from RNAcentral.
AACGCGAAGAACCUUACCAGGGUUUGACAUCCUGCGAAUCCCUUGGAAACGAGGGAGUGCCUUCGGGAACGCAGUGACAGGUGGUGCAUGGCUGUCGUCAGCUCGUGUCGUGAGAUGUUGGGUUAAGUCCCGCAACGAGCGCAACCCACGUCUUUAGUUGCCAGCAUUCAGUUGGGCACUCUAGAGAGACCGCCGGUGAUAAACCGGAGGAAGGUGUGGAUGACGUCAAGUCAUCAUGCCCCUUACAUCCUGGGCUACACACGUACUACAAUGCUACGGACAAAGGGCAGCAAACUCGCGAGAGCUAGCAAAUCCCAUAAACCGUGGCUCAGUUCAGAUCGUAGGCUGCAACUCGCCUACGUGAAGGAGGAAUCGCUAGUAAUCGCAGGUCAGCAUACUGCGGUGAAUACGUUCCCGGGCCUUGUACACACCG